CCUACGGGCUGCAGCAGUAGGGAAUCUUCCGCAAUGGACGAAAGUCUGACGGAGCAACGCCGCGUGAGCGAAGAAGGCCUUCGGGUCGUAAAGCUCUGUUGUUAGGGAAGAACAAGUAACGCAGUAACUGGCGUUACCGUGACGGUACCUAACGAGAAAGCCACGGCUAACUACGUGCCAGCAGCCGCGGUAAUACGUAGGUGGCAAGCGUUGUCCGGAAUUAUUGGGCGUAAAGCGCGCGCAGGCGGUUCCUUAAGUCUGAUGUGAAAGCCCACGGCUCAACCGUGGAGGGUCAUUGGAAACUGGGGGACUUGAGUGCAGAAGAGGAGAGCGGAAUUCCACGUGCAGCGGUGAAAUGCGCAGAGAUAUGGAGGAACACCAGUGGCGAAGGCGACUUUCUGGUCUGUAACUGACGCUGAUGUGCGAAAGCGUGGGGAUCAAACAGGAUUAGAUACCCGUGUAGUC
Molecule: ribosomal RNA, 465 nt
Filed under: uncultured bacterium
Lineage: Bacteria
Description: bacterial SSU rRNA
Rfam family: Bacterial small subunit ribosomal RNA
Source: RNAcentral